Molecule: ribosomal RNA, 492 nt
Filed under: uncultured bacterium
Lineage: Bacteria
Description: partial 16S ribosomal RNA
Rfam family: Bacterial small subunit ribosomal RNA
Source: RNAcentral
AGUGAACGCUGGCGGCAGGCCUAACACAUGCAAGUCGAACGGCCGCACAGUAAGAGCUUGCUCUUACGGGUGGCGAGUGGCGGACGGGUGAGGCAUACAUCGGAAUCUACUUUUUCGUGGGGGAUAACGUAGGGAAACUUACGCUAAUACCGCAUACGACAUACGGGUGAAAGCAGGGGAUCUUCGGACCUUGCGCGACUGAAUGAGCCGAUGUCGGAUUAGCUAGUUGGCGGGGUAAAGGCCCACCAAGGCGACGAUCCGUAGCUGGUCUGAGAGGAUGAUCGGCCACACUGGAACUGAGACACGGUCCAGACUCCUACGGGAGGCAGCAGUGGGGAAUAUUGGGCAAUGGGCGCAAGCCUGAUCCAGCCAUACCGCGUGAGUGAAGAAGGCCUUCGGGUUGUAAAGCCCUUUUGUUGGGAAAGAAAAGCAGCAGGUUAAUACCCCGCUGUUCUGACGGUACCCAAAGAAUAAGCACCGGCUAACUACGUG